Molecule: ribosomal RNA, 546 nt
Filed under: uncultured bacterium
Lineage: Bacteria
Description: bacterial SSU rRNA
Rfam family: Bacterial small subunit ribosomal RNA
Source: RNAcentral
UAGGGAAUCUUCCACAAUGGACGCAAGUCUGAUGGAGCAACGCCGCGUGAGUGAAGAAGGUUUUCGGAUCGUAAAACUCUGUUGUUAGAGAAGAACGUGUGUGAGAGUAACUGUUCAUGCAGUGACGGUAUCUAACCAGAAAGCCCCGGCUAACUACGUGCCAGCAGCCGCGGUAAUACGUAGGGGGCAAGCGUUAUCCGGAUUCAUUGGGCGUAAAGCGCGCGUAGGCGGCCAGCCUGGUCGGGAGUCAAAUCCGGGGGCUCAACCCCCGUCCGCUCCCGAUACCGGCCGGCUUGAGUCUGGUAGGGGAAGGCGGAAUUCCCGGUGUAGCGGUGGAAUGCGCAGAUAUCGGGAAGAACACCGGUGGCGAAGGCGGCCUUCUGGGCCACGACUGACGCUGAGGCGCGAAAGCUAGGGGAGCGAACAGGAUUAGAUACCCUGGUAGUCCUAGCCGUAAACGAUGGGCACUAGGUAUGGGGGGAUCGUCCCUCCGUGCCGCAGCCAACGCAUUAAGUGCCCCGCCUGGGGAGUACGGCCGCAAGGCUA